GAGGUGAUGUUAGACAUCGACUAUAAAAAAGAGAUAUAAAAUAGCUUUCCUGACUAGAUAUCUUCUGAAGAUUUUUAUAUGGAAUAGCGAUUUCACUUCUUGUGAUACGAGAUCACAAAAUCUGUAAUAAUCUUAGAAUUGGAAUAUUCAUCUCGAUGAUUCGAUCAAAUUGUUUGAUCAGAAAUGAAGAAUUAUAAAUUUUCAAA
RNAcentral lists this long non-coding RNA (206 nucleotides) under Elaeis guineensis (African oil palm). Its description in RNAcentral is "long non-coding RNA (EGUI_LNC059588)". The record is from RNAcentral. Lineage: Eukaryota; Viridiplantae; Streptophyta; Magnoliopsida; Arecales; Arecaceae.